AGCAUCUACUGCCUCCACUCCCGAGGCCAGAAUAAUGCUCGGUGUCUCCUCUUGGAACCCUCAACGCUCAGGCCUGUCUUGCUCUCCCCCCCGGACCUCCUGCUGCAGCAUCGCCGCCUACUCUACAGUGGGGGUCCGGCAUGAUCCCGUCUGCGAGCCCCUGGCAUCCAUGCCCCGCUUGGGCCGGAAGCACAACCCAGGCAUUUGGUGAUCAAAGAAAACCUACUCUGACUAAUUGACUUGAUGCAGAAAGAGAGCCAUAAUCCCAGAACUGAAGAAAUGAUGAAUGUGAUUAAUGAACUGCAGCGAGCCCACAAAACUGCAAAUGAGGAGCUUCGGAAAAGCCAGGCUGAAAGGGAAGCAUUGAAGAAAGAACUAGAUGAAUUGAACACGGAAAAGACCCAUCUGGAGGACAUCUUGAGCAUGAAGCAAGAAACCCUGAAACUCCUUCAACAGCGCUGCAACGAGGAAGAAAACAAAAUCCAGAGUCUACAGGCUAUGUCUCAGGACUGCAUCCGGAAGAUAGCGGAUCUGAAUUCUAAGAUUCAGGAAGAGAAGCUAAGAAGGAGGAAGCAAAGGUUGGACUUUGAAGAGCAGCUAGAGGAGCUGAUGGGGAAGCACAAGGAUGUAUGGGGAUUGAAUACACCAGAGACGCUGGCUCAAGAAAUCAACAGUACAGCCAGUAGCAAGGAACAGCUUCUACUGGAGGAAAAGCUAAUUCAGGAGAAAUUGGAUGCCAUGGAGAAACAACUACCUGGACUGCCUCACCCCAAGGCCAAGGCUGAGGCUCUGGCUGUCCACAGUGUGGACACCUUCCUUCGCAGUGAGGAAGCUGCUGCUGCCAUGCACCUGUUUGAGGAGGAAAACAAGAAGGCCAUGCAGUUCCUGGAGGCAGCCUCUCAGCAUUACCACCAGCUGCAGCAGAAGUACUACAGACUAAAGAUGGAGCUGGAAGCUGGUGGCCAACGUGAUAUCAGAGGGUCCAAGGGGAGCAACAUAGAGACAGCUGCUGAAGGGGGCAGUGAUGUGGUUGCUGAGGGGGCCCUGUCAGAGGAGGCCAGUAUUGACCGCAGUCCAGGGAAACGUGUCUCAGUCUUGUCCUAGAGCCUCACAGGGAGCUCACCCACUUGCCCCAGGAGGGAGCUGCAGCCUGGUCUGAACCUAGCCUGGAGAGGCAGUGUUUGGCCUUUUGGCCCCAUCACAACGAUGGGGGGCCCUCCGUCACAAUCUGCCAAACCCAGCUGUGGACUAUGCCUACCACCUGCCUCCUUCAUUACUACUCUCAUGCUGCUGAAUGGAGCUGGAGAAAAUCUCAACACCAUGCUUACUGGCUUCACUGCAGCAAGCCUAUUUCCUGACUUUGGACUUGAUAGUAGGGCUGGGCUCCGUGAACUUCUGGAGAGAAUAUUUGGGCUGACCUCAUGUCCUCUAGGUUCUUGUCGCUGCUUUCUUGGGGUAUCGAGUGUUGUGUUAUUCCAGGCUCUCAAGGACAGCUCAGGUUGAGGACCUUCAGGUUUUCAGUGUUUCCAGAAUGGUCUGAUCCACGGCAAAAGCUGAUCAGUUCCUUCCUUGUCUGAGCUCUGCAAAUUCCUGACCCGGCUUUGAGUCUGAGCAACAGAUCUAUUGGCUUGCCUGUGGUUGGACUCAGACACUAUUAGCCAACUUGAAAGCCUUGUAGGUUCAGAAUGAGAGAAGUGCAGGCUCCCUUUUAAUCUGGGAUUCCUGUUCUGAUUAUUCUACUGCUGCCUUCAGAUUUGGCUCGAGAUCCCAUUCUAAUCUACAUAGUUGCUGAUUGCUUCUACACUUGCUUCUUGCUCAGUACUUAGUCUAACGUCCACAACUGUUCCUCUCUGUGAAACACCACCCCUAGCUGCAGUUUUCCUCGGUCUACCCAGAAUCUGACCCAGAACUGGGUAGCGAGCAACAGAGUUGCCUAUUCCUAGGCUCCUGCACAAGGUCAGGAUCUGGGACUGUUAGGGGCGGUCGGCCCUAGACGCCUGAGCGGAUAGGAACCUCCCUGGGAGGUGAGAGCCCCCAAUCCCAGAAAGACACGGCUCCCUACACGGGGUACGUGUAAGGAUGGGAUUGGGCGAGACUCUUUGCUCCAUACAGGUGGCAGGUUUCGCCCUCGGGGCGGAUUGGGGUGGCCACCCGGAAGACAGACCCUAUAUAGACCAACGCCCCAGCUUGCUCGGGGGAUUCCUCCGCAAUUAAUAAAACAUAUGCCUCCCGAA
RNA transcript from Vombatus ursinus (common wombat), 2234 nucleotides. It is a transcript of the gene named synaptonemal complex central element protein 1-like, with no coding region annotated. The transcript has 15 exons. NCBI's taxonomy places the organism in Eukaryota, Metazoa, Chordata, Mammalia, Diprotodontia, Vombatidae. The record is from RefSeq and is a predicted model, not a curated record.